GACGAACGCUGGCGGCGUGCUUAACACAUGCAAGUCGAGCGGUAAGGCCCUUUCGGGGGUACACGAGCGGCGAACGGGUGAGUAACACGUGGGUGACCUGCCCUCAGCUCUGGGAUAAGCCUGGGAAACCGGGUCUAAUACUGGAUAUGACUCCAUGACGCAUGUUGUGGGGUGGAAAGCCUUGUGCGGCUGAGGAUGGGCCCGCGGCCUAUCAGCUUGUUGGUGGGGUGANGGCCUACCAAGGCGACGACGGGUAGCCGGCCUGAGAGGGCGAACCGGCCACACUGGGACUGAGACACGGCCCAGACUCCUACGGGAGGCAGCAGUGGGGAAUCUUGCGCAAUGGGCGAAAGCCUGACGCAGCGACGCCGCGUGAGGGAUGACGGCCUCGG
RNAcentral lists this ribosomal RNA (392 nucleotides) under uncultured bacterium. RNAcentral's name for it is "bacterial SSU rRNA". It matches the Rfam family "Bacterial small subunit ribosomal RNA", at positions 28 to 420 of the family's 1533-position model. The record is from RNAcentral.